RNAcentral lists this ribosomal RNA (469 nucleotides) under uncultured bacterium. Its description in RNAcentral is "bacterial SSU rRNA". It matches the Rfam family "Bacterial small subunit ribosomal RNA", at positions 335 to 796 of the family's 1533-position model. The record is from RNAcentral.
ACUCCUACGGGAGGCAGCAGUGGGGAAUAUUGGACAAUGGGCGCAAGCCUGAUCCAGCAAUGCCGCGUGUGUGAAGAAGGCCUUCGGGUUGUAAAGCACUUUUAUCAGGAGCGAAAUACUACCGGCUAAUACCCGGUGGGGCUGACGGUACCUGAGGAAUAAGCACCGGCUAACUUCGUGCCAGCAGCCGCGGUAAUACGAAGGGUGCAAGCGUUAAUCGGAAUUACUGGGCGUAAAGCGUGCGUAGGCGGUCUUUUAAGUCUGCUGUGAAAUCCCCGGGCUCAACCUGGGAAUGGCAGUGGAUACUGGGAGGCUAGAGUGUGAGAGAGGAUGGUGGAAUUCCCGGUGUAGCGGUGAAAUGCGUAGAGAUCGGGAGGAACAUCAGUGGCGAAGGCGGCCAUCUGGCUCAACACUGACGCUGAGGCACGAAAGCGUGGGGAGCAAACAGGAUUAGAAACCCCUGUAGUCC